GACGAGGCACUACGGUGCUGAAGCAACAAAUGCCCUGCUUCCAGGAAAAGCCUCUAAGCAUCAGGUAACACGAAAUCGUACCCCAAACCGACACAGGUGGUCAGGUAGAGAAUACCAAGGCGCUUGAGAGAACUCGGGUGAAGGAACUAGGCAAAAUGGUGCCGUAACUUCGGGAGAAGGCACGCUGACACGUAGGUGAAGUGAUUUACUCAUGGAGCUGAAGUCAGUCGAAGAUACCAGCUGGCUGCAACUGUUUAUUAAAAACACAGCACUGUGCAAACACGAAAGUGGACGUAUACGGUGUGACGCCUGCCCGGUGCCGGAAGGUUAAUUGAUGGGGUCAGCGUAAGCGAAGCUCCUGAUCGAAGCCCCGGUAAACGGCGGCCGUAACUAUAACGGUCCUAAGGUAGCGAAAUUCCUUGUCGGGUAAGUUCCGACCUGCACGAAUGGCGUAAUGAUGGCCAGGCUGUCUCCACCCGAGACUCAGUGAAAUUGAACUCGCUGUGAAGAUGCAGUGUACCCGCGGCAAGACGGAAAGACCCCGUGAACCUUUACUAUAGCUUGACACUGAACAUUGAGCCUUGAUGUGUAGGAUAGGUGGGAGGCUUUGAAGUGUGGACGCCAGUCUGCAUGGAGCCGACCUUGAAAUACCACCCUUUAAUGUUUGAUGUUCUAACGUGGACCCGUAAUCCGGGUUGCGGACAGUGUCUGGUGGGUAGUUUGACUGGGGCGGUCUCCUCCUAAAGAGUAACGGAGGAGCACGAAGGUUGGCUAAUCCUGGUCGGACAUCAGGAGGUUAGUGCAAUGGCAUAAGCCAGCUUGACUGCGAGCGUGACGGCGCGAGCAGGUGCGAAAGCAGGUCAUAGUGAUCCGGUGGUUCUGAAUGGAAGGGCCAUCGCUCAACGGAUAAAAGGUACUCCGGGGAUAACAGGCUGAUACCGCCCAAGAGUUCAUAUCGACGGCGGUGUUUGGCACCUCGAUGUCGGCUCAUCACAUCCUGGGGCUGAAGUAGGUCCCAAGGGUAUGGCUGUUCGCCAUUUAAAGUGGUACGCGAGCUGGGUUUAGAACGUCGUGAGACAGUUCGGUCCCUAUCUGCCGUGGGCGCUGGAGAACUGAGGGGGGCUGCUCCUAGUACGAGAGGACCGGAGUGGACGCAUCACUGGUGUUCGGGUUGUCAUGCCAAUGGCACUGCCCGGUAGCUAAAUGCGGAAGAGAUAAGUGCUGAAAGCAUCUAAGCACGAAACUUGCCCCGAGAUGAGUUCUCCCUGAGACUUAGAGUCUCCUGAAGGAACGUUGAAGACGACGACGUU
This 1310-nucleotide ribosomal RNA is filed under the name Salmonella enterica subsp. enterica. Its description in RNAcentral is "partial 23S ribosomal RNA". It matches the Rfam family "Bacterial large subunit ribosomal RNA", at positions 1568 to 2854 of the family's 2925-position model. Lineage: Bacteria; Pseudomonadati; Pseudomonadota; Gammaproteobacteria; Enterobacterales; Enterobacteriaceae. The record is from RNAcentral.